RNAcentral lists this ribosomal RNA (424 nucleotides) under uncultured Bacteroidota bacterium. RNAcentral's name for it is "bacterial SSU rRNA". It matches the Rfam family "Bacterial small subunit ribosomal RNA", at positions 355 to 776 of the family's 1533-position model. The record is from RNAcentral. Lineage: Bacteria; Pseudomonadati; Bacteroidota.
UAAGGAAUAUUGGUCAAUGGGCGAGAGCCUGAACCAGCCACGCCGCGUGAAGGAAGACGGCCCUACGGGUUGUAAACUUCUUUUCUACGGGAAUAAACCUCAGGACGUGUCCUGAGCUGAAGGUACCGUAGGAAUAAGCAUCGGCUAACUCCGUGCCAGCAGCCGCGGUAAUACGGAGGAUGCAAGCGUUAUCCGGAUUUAUUGGGUUUAAAGGGUGCGUAGGUGGGAUGAUAAGUCAGAGGUGAAAGCUAGCAGCUUAACUGUUAAAUUGCCUUUGAUACUGUUAUUCUUGAGUGUAGUUGGCGUUGGCGGAAUGUGACAUGUAGCGGUGAAAUGCGUAGAUAUGUCACAGAACACCGAUCGCGAAGGCAGCUAACGAAGCUAUCACUGACACUGAUGCACGAAAGCGUGGGGAGCAAACAGG